UAACGUGGCCCCGCCGGCGGUUCCAUCGCUUCAUCCCAAUGGAGCGAUGGAUUAAAAGGGAAGUCCGGUGCGCCCGUGCGCGAGCACGGGCAAUUCCGGCGCUGCCCCGCAGCGGUAAUUGGAAACGACCUCCGCCAUCGCACUGGCCCUCGCGGCCGGGAAGCGGCGGACAGUAGGCCCCGGCGCCCCGUGCGCCGCCCGUCCAUGAGCCCGAAGACCUGCCCCGGCCGGAAGGCGUGC
Molecule: non-coding RNA, 240 nt
Organism: Pseudoxanthomonas suwonensis
Lineage: Bacteria; Pseudomonadati; Pseudomonadota; Gammaproteobacteria; Lysobacterales; Lysobacteraceae
Source: Rfam